GCCAAGUGGCGGGGUGCUAUACAUGCAAGUCGAGCGGACGGAUGGGAGCUUGCUCCCUGAAGUCAGCGGCGGACGGGUGAGUAACACGUGGGCAACCUGCCUGUAAGACUGGGAUAACUCCGGGAAACCGGGGCUAAUACCGGAUAACUCUUUUCCUCACAUGAGGAAAAGCUGAAAGAUGGUUUCGGCUAUCACUUACAGAUGGGCCCGCGGCGCAUUAGCUAGUUGGUGAGGUAACGGCUCACCAAGGCCACGAUGCGUAGCCGACCUGAGAGGGUGAUCGGCCACACUGGGACUGAGACACGGCCCAGACUCCUACGGGAGGCAGCAGUAGGGAAUCUUCCGCAAUGGACGAAAGUCUGACGGAGCAACGCCGCGUGAGUGAUGAAGGUUUUCGGAUCGUAAAACUCUGUUGUCAGGGAAGAACAAGUACCGGAGUAACUGCCGGUACCUUGACGGUACCUGACCAGAAAGCCACGGCUAACUACGUGCCAGCAGCCGCGGUAAU
RNAcentral lists this ribosomal RNA (508 nucleotides) under Cytobacillus firmus. RNAcentral describes it as "bacterial SSU rRNA". It matches the Rfam family "Bacterial small subunit ribosomal RNA", at positions 37 to 524 of the family's 1533-position model. The record is from RNAcentral. Lineage: Bacteria; Bacillati; Bacillota; Bacilli; Caryophanales; Bacillaceae.